RNAcentral lists this ribosomal RNA (474 nucleotides) under uncultured bacterium. RNAcentral's name for it is "bacterial SSU rRNA". It matches the Rfam family "Bacterial small subunit ribosomal RNA", at positions 29 to 507 of the family's 1533-position model. The record is from RNAcentral.
AUUGAACGCUGGCGGCAUGCCUAACACAUGCAAGUCGAACGGGGGCAGCAAUGCUCUAGUGGCGGACGGGUGAGGAAUACGUAGGAACCGGCCCACGAGUGGGGGACAACCUGGGGAAACCCAGGCUAAUACCGCAUACGCUCGCGAGAGGAAAGCGGGGGACCUUCGGGCCUCGCGCUGGUGGACGGGCCUACGUCCGAUUAGCUAGUUGGUGGGGUAAAAGCCUACCAAGGCGACGAUCGGUAGCUGGUCUGAGAGGAUGAUCAGCCACACUGGGACUGAGACACGGCCCAGACUCCUACGGGAGGCAGCAGUGGGGAAUAUUGGACAAUGGGCGCAAGCCUGAUCCAGCAAUGCCGCGUGGGUGAAGAAGGCCUGCGGGUUGUAAAGCCCUUUAAGCGGGGAGGAAAGCCGGGGCGUCAAUAGCGCCCUGGGGUGACGUUACCCGCAGAAUAAGCACCGGCUAACUCCGUG